RNAcentral lists this ribosomal RNA (253 nucleotides) under uncultured bacterium. RNAcentral describes it as "partial 16S ribosomal RNA". It matches the Rfam family "Bacterial small subunit ribosomal RNA", at positions 524 to 776 of the family's 1533-position model. The record is from RNAcentral.
UACGGGGGGGGCUAGCGUUGUUCGGAAUUACUGGGCGUAAAGGGCGCGUAGGCGGUCUGCUAAGUUGGAUGUGAAAACUCUGGGCUUAACCCAGAGCCUGCAUUCAAUACUGACAGGCUAGAGUUCUGGAGGGGAUAGCGGAAUUCCUGGUGUAGCGGUGAAAUGCGUAGAUAUCAGGAGGAACACCGGUGGCGAAGGCGGCUAUCUGGACAGAAACUGACGCUGAGGCGCGAAAGCUAGGGGAGCAAACGGG